GAUGAACGCUGGCGGCGUGCUUAACACAUGCAAGUCGAACGGGUUUAUGAUGAAACCUAGUGAUUCAUAAGUUAGUGGCGGACGGGUGGGUAACGCGUGGAUAACCUGACUUAUACCGGGGGAUAACACUUAGAAAUAGGUGCUAAUACCGCAUAAGCGCAAAGAGCCGCAUGGCUUGGUGUGAAAAACUCCGGUGGUGUAAGAUGGAUCCGCGUCUGAUUAGCUAGUUGGUGAGGUAAGGGCUCACCAAGGCGACGAUCAGUAGCCGGCCUGAGAGGAUGAACGGCCACAUUGAGACUGAGACACGGCGCAAACUCCUACGGGAGGCAGCAGUGGGGAAUAUUGCACAAUGGGCGAAAGCCUGAUGCAGCGACGCCGCGUGAGUGAAGAAGUAUUUCAGUAUGUAAAGCUCUAUCAGCAAGGAAGAAAAUGACGGUACUUGACUAAGAAGCCCCGGCUAACUACGUGCCAGCCGCCGCAGUAA
This 484-nucleotide ribosomal RNA is filed under the name uncultured bacterium. RNAcentral's name for it is "partial 16S ribosomal RNA". It matches the Rfam family "Bacterial small subunit ribosomal RNA", at positions 28 to 523 of the family's 1533-position model. The record is from RNAcentral.